GAUGAACGCUAGCGGCAGGCUUAACACAUGCAAGUCGAGGGGCAGCACAAAUAGUAGCAAUACUAUUGGUGGCGACCGGCGGACGGGUGCGUAACGCGUAUACAACCUUCCCUAAACAGGGGGAUAAUCUGGAGAAAUUCGGUCUAAUACCCCAUAACAUCAGAGCAGGCAUCUGUUUGGUUAAAAUUUCCGGAGGUUUAGGAUGGGUAUGCGUAGCAUUAGCUAGUUGGUGAGGUAACGGCUCACCAAGGCGACGAUGCUUAGGGGGACUGAGAGGUUAACCCCCCACACUGGUACUGAGACACGGACCAGACUCAUACGGGAGGCAGCAGUGAGGAAUAUUGGUCAAUGGGCGGAAGCCUGAACCAGCCAUGCCGCGUGCAGGAUGACGGCUCUAUGAGUUGUAAACUGCUUUUGUACGAGGGUAAAGUGGGCUACGUGUAGCCUUUUGAAAGUAUCGUACGAAUAAGGAUCGGCUAACUCCGUGCCAGCCGCCGCCGUAA
This 503-nucleotide ribosomal RNA is filed under the name uncultured bacterium. RNAcentral's name for it is "partial 16S ribosomal RNA". It matches the Rfam family "Bacterial small subunit ribosomal RNA", at positions 28 to 523 of the family's 1533-position model. The record is from RNAcentral.